CCGGGCGACCGGCGCACGGGUGAGUAACACGUAUGCAACCUGCCCUCUUCAGGGGGACAACCUUCCGAAAGGGAGGCUAAUCCCGCGUAUAUCGGUUUCGGGCAUCCGAGAUCGAGGAAAGAUUCAUCGGAAGAGGAUGGGCAUGCGGCGCAUUAGCUAGACGGCGGGGUAACGGCCCACCGUGGCGACGAUGCGUAGGGGUUCUGAGAGGAAGGUCCCCCACACUGGUACUGAGACACGGACCAGACUCCUACGGGAGGCAGCAG
Molecule: ribosomal RNA, 266 nt
Filed under: uncultured bacterium
Lineage: Bacteria
Description: partial 16S ribosomal RNA
Rfam family: Bacterial small subunit ribosomal RNA
Source: RNAcentral